UACGUAGGGAGCAAGCGUUGUCCGGAAUCAUUGGGCGUAAAGCGCGCGUAGGUGGCUUCGUAAGUCCGCUGUGAAAGUCAAAGGCUCAACCUUUGAAAGCCGGUGGAUACUGCGGGGCUAGAGUACGGAAGAGGCGAGUGGAAUUCCCGGUGUAGCGGUGAAAUGCGCAGAUAUCGGGAGGAACACCGGUGGCGAAGGCGGCGACCUGGUCCGUGACUGACGCUGAGGCGCGAAAGCGUGGGGAGCAAACAGG
Molecule: ribosomal RNA, 253 nt
Filed under: uncultured bacterium
Lineage: Bacteria
Description: partial 16S ribosomal RNA
Rfam family: Bacterial small subunit ribosomal RNA
Source: RNAcentral